UACAAAGGUCCCAAGCGUUGUUCGGAUUCAUUGGGCGUAAAGGGUGCGUAGGCGGCGCGGUAAGUCGGGUGUGAAAUCUCGGGGCUUAACUCCGAAACUGCAUUCGAUACUGCCGUGCUUGAGGACUGGAGAGGAGACUGGAAUUUACGGUGUAGCGGUGAAAUGCGUAGAUAUCGUAAGGAAGACCAGUGGCGAAGGCGGGUCUCUGGACAGUUCCUGACGCUGAGGCACGAAGGCCAGGGGAGCAAACGGG
This 253-nucleotide ribosomal RNA is filed under the name uncultured bacterium. RNAcentral's name for it is "partial 16S ribosomal RNA". It matches the Rfam family "Bacterial small subunit ribosomal RNA", at positions 524 to 776 of the family's 1533-position model. The record is from RNAcentral.